ACGAUCUGAACCGUUCAUCUUCCUGUAUCCUCUAAUACAUCAUGUUUCAAAAAAACAAAAUCUGAAAAAACAAAAUUUGGUGAGAAAAAUGAAGCAUAAAUGUAAACAACAAUCGACGGUUAAAUUUUGAUCUAUGAUUUAUAUGAUUAUAGUGGCACAUUUCAAAGUUAAGUCCUUCACAAAAGUUGUAAAACUUGUCAUUACGAGCGUUUAUAUAUUUUUUCUAUAUUUUUCACACUUCUACAUUAAUUAUAAAACUAUUAAAGACUUUACUUAAACAAUAGUCAUAGGAUAAAUGAGAAGAGAAUGCUAAUGUAGAAAGCCUCACUGAAAAUAUCAUCAAUAUAACUCUUGAAGACAAUAUAUCAAGCCAAAGUUCCAAUACCGUUUCUCAUGGUGAUUGAUGAAAAUUGAAGAGUUUGAUUGUAAGAAAAUGUGCAAGGUUCCAAACCUUGAAACAUAACUCCCUUAAUUUUGCAAAUCUUUUGAACAUUUGAUAUUUUGUAAUGUUCUAAUGUUUUUUUUUAUUAUUAUGCUCUUAUAUUUGGUAUGUAAAUAUGUAAUUCUUCAAAGACAAAUGCGUUUUUAUGUUUUGAAUAUGAUAAUAUGGUAUGUAUAUACUUAUUUAGUAUUAUGUUUUUCAUUUGAUUAUUUAUUGGUUUAAAAUAUAUUUUCCUUAACGGGUAAUGGGUCAGGUCAUA
Molecule: long non-coding RNA, 701 nt
Filed under: Malus domestica (apple)
Lineage: Eukaryota; Viridiplantae; Streptophyta; Magnoliopsida; Rosales; Rosaceae
Description: long non-coding RNA (MDOM_LNC016530)
Source: RNAcentral